Non-coding RNA from Hordeum vulgare subsp. vulgare (domesticated barley), 124 nucleotides. Lineage: Eukaryota; Viridiplantae; Streptophyta; Magnoliopsida; Poales; Poaceae. The record is from Rfam.
UUAGUACUCCCUCCGUCCGAAAAUACUUGUCGUAGGAAUUGAUGUAUCUAGAUGUAUUUUAGUUCUAGAUACAUCCAUUUAUAUCAUUUUUGUGACAAGUAAUUCCGGACGGAGGGAGUAGUUA